GCAAAAGAAGGGCGUAUGGGGGAUGCCUGGGCUCUCAGAGGCGAAGAAGGACGUGAUAAGCUGCGAAAAGCCACGGGGAACUGCACACGAGUGUUGAUCCGUGGAUAUCCGAAUGGGGCAACCCGGCUGGUUGAAGGCCAGUCACACCGCAAGGUGGGCAAACCCGCUGAACUGAAACAUCUAAGUAGGCGGAGGAAGAGAAAACAAAAGUGAUUCCGAUAGUAGUGGCGAGCGAAAUCGGAUUAGUCCAAACCGUUGUCGUUUCGGCGACAGCGGGGUUGUAGGACCGUGACAUUCUGAAUGUAAUGAACUGGAACAAGUUGGAAAUCUUGACCAUAGAGGGUGAUAGUCCCGUAUAGGUAAAGAACAUUCGGAUAACGGUAUCCUGAGUAGUGCGGGGCACGUGAAACCCUGUAUGAAUCCGGCGGGACCAUCCGCCAAGACUAAAUACUCCUGAGAGACCGAUAGUGAACCAGUACCGUGAGGGAAAGGCGAAAAGAACCCCGGAGAGGGGAGUGAAAUAGAUCCUGAAACCGUGUGCGUACAAGCAGUGGGAGCAGACUUGUUCUGUGACUGCGUACCUUUUGUAUAAUGGGUCAGCGACUUAUUGUCUGUAGCAAGCUUAACCGUAUAGGGGAGGCGUAGGGAAACCGAGUCUUAAUAGGGCGUUUAGUUGCAGGCAAUAGACCCGAAACCGGGCGAUCUAUCCAUGGCCAGGCUGAAGGUUGGGUAACACUAACUGGAGGGCCGAACCCACGUAUGUUGAAAAAUGCGGGGAUGAACUGUGGAUCGGAGUGAAAGGCUAAUCAAGCCAGGAGAUAGCUGGUUCUCCUCGAAAGCUAUUUAGGUAGCGCCUCAUGUAUCACUCUUGGGGGUAGAGCACUGUUUGGGCUAGGGGGUCAUCCCGACUUACCAACCCCAUGCAAACUCCGAAUACCGAGAAGUGCAAUCAUGGGAGACACACGGUGGGUGAUAACGUCCAUCGUGGAAAGGGAAACAACCCAGACCAUCAGCUAAGGUCCCAAAAUUAUGGCUCAGUGGAAAACGAGGUGGGAAGGCUCAGACAGCUAGGAGGUUGGCUUAGAAGCAGCCACCCUUUAAAGAAAGCGUAAUAGCUCACUAGUCGAGU
Molecule: ribosomal RNA, 1129 nt
Filed under: Thalassiosira antarctica
Lineage: Eukaryota; Bacillariophyta; Thalassiosirophyceae; Thalassiosirales; Thalassiosiraceae
Description: partial Bacterial large subunit ribosomal RNA
Rfam family: Bacterial large subunit ribosomal RNA
Source: RNAcentral